Molecule: ribosomal RNA, 490 nt
Filed under: uncultured bacterium
Lineage: Bacteria
Description: partial 16S ribosomal RNA
Rfam family: Bacterial small subunit ribosomal RNA
Source: RNAcentral
AUUGAACGCUGGCGGCAGGCCUAACACAUGCAAGUCGAACGGUAACAGGAAGAAGCUUGCUUCUUUGCUUACGAGUGGCGGACGGGUGAGUAAUGUCUGUGAAACUGCCUGAUGGAGGGGGAUAACUACUGGAAACGGUAGCUAAUACCGCAUAAUUUCUCAAGACCAAAGAGGGGGACCUUCGGGCCUCUUGCCAUCGGCUGUGCCCAGAUGGGAUUAGCUAGUAGGUGGGGUAACGGCUCACCUAGGCGACGAUCCCUAGCUGGUCUGAGAGGAUGACCAGCCACACUGGAACUGAGACACGGUCCAGACUCCUACGGGAGGCAGCAGUGGGGAAUAUUGCACAAUGGGCGAAAGCCUGAUGCAGCUAUGCCGCGUGUAUGAAGAAGGCCUUCGGGUUGUAAAGUACUUUCAGCGGGGAGGAAGGGAGUAAAGUUAAUACCUUUGCUCAUUGACGUUACCCGAAGAAGAAGCAACGGCUAACUCCGUG